This 253-nucleotide ribosomal RNA is filed under the name uncultured bacterium. Its description in RNAcentral is "partial 16S ribosomal RNA". It matches the Rfam family "Bacterial small subunit ribosomal RNA", at positions 524 to 776 of the family's 1533-position model. The record is from RNAcentral.
UACGUAGGGUGCAGGCGUUAAUCGGAAUUACUGGGCGUAAAGCGUGCGCAGGCGGUUUCUUAAGUCAGAUGUGAAAGCCCCGGGCUUAACCUGGGAACUGCGUUUGAAACUGGGAGACUUGAGUGUGGCAGAGGGGGGUGGAAUUCCACGUGUAGCAGUGAAAUGCGUAGAUAUGUGGAGGAACACCGAUGGCGAAGGCAGCCCCCUGGGUUAACACUGACGCUCAUGCACGAAAGCACGGGGAGCAAACAGG